This 406-nucleotide ribosomal RNA is filed under the name uncultured bacterium. RNAcentral's name for it is "partial 16S ribosomal RNA". It matches the Rfam family "Bacterial small subunit ribosomal RNA", at positions 30 to 526 of the family's 1533-position model. The record is from RNAcentral.
AUUGAACGCUGGCGGCAGGCCUAACACAUGCAAGUCGAACGAGUGGCGGACGGGUGAGUAAUGUCUGGGAAACUGCCCGAUGGAGGGGGAUAACUACUGGAAACGGUAGCUAAUACCGCAUACCAUCGGAUGUGCCCAGAUGGGAUUAGCUUGUAGGUGAGGUAACGGCUCACCUAGGCGACGAUCCCUAGCUGGCCUGAGAGGAUGACCAGAGACACGGGAACUGAUAGGAGUUCGAGACUCCUACGGGAGGCAGCAGGGGGGAAUAUUGCACGAGGGUCGCGUGCCUGAUGCAGCCAGGCCGCGGGGAUGAAGAAGUCCUUCUGGUUGUAAAGUACUUGCAGCGGGGCGGCGUUAGUCGCAGACGAAGCACCUUCUAACUCCGUGCCAUCAGCCGCGGUUAUAC